ACUCCUACGGGAGGCAGCAGUGGGGAAUAUUGCACAAUGGGCGCAAGCCUGAUGCAGCCAUGCCGCGUGUAUGAAGAAGGCCUUCGGGUUGUAAGUACUUUCAGCAGUGAGGAAGGCAGGUACGUUAAUAGCGUGCUUGUUUGACGUUAGCUGCAGAAGAAGCACCGGCUAACUCCGUGCCAGCAGCCGCGGUAAUACGGAGGGUGCGAGCGUUAAUCGGAAUUACUGGGCGUAAAGCGCAUGCAGGUGGUUUGUUAAGUCAGAUGUGAAAGCCCGGGGCUCAACCUCGGAAUUGCAUUUGAAACUGGCAGACUAGAGUACUGUAGAGGGGGGUAGAAUUUCAGGUGUAGCGGUGAAAUGCGUAGAGAUCUGAAGGAAUACCGGUGGCAAGGCGGCCCCCUGGACAGAUACUGACACUCAGAUGCGAAA
This 429-nucleotide ribosomal RNA is filed under the name uncultured bacterium. RNAcentral describes it as "bacterial SSU rRNA". It matches the Rfam family "Bacterial small subunit ribosomal RNA", at positions 335 to 758 of the family's 1533-position model. The record is from RNAcentral.